AGCAGUGUGGCUCAGUGAACAGAGCACAGGCUUGGGAGUCCGAGGUCCUGGGUUCUAAUCCCGGCUCCGCCA
Ornithorhynchus anatinus (platypus) is the source of this 72-nucleotide non-coding RNA. Lineage: Eukaryota; Metazoa; Chordata; Mammalia; Monotremata; Ornithorhynchidae. The record is from Rfam.